CCAACCAGGCUGGCAGACAGUUGUUACCAUGCAACGAGCAGACGCUUGCGAAAAGUACUUGCUACAAAAUUGGCAAAAUUGCCUGCUGCUGUAUACAUAGCGCGCGUGUGUGUAUGUUGCUAACCUAGCUAGUUAGCUAGCCAUCAAUAAAGUUCCCAAUGUUACAACAUGGCAGACGGCUGGAGCACCGACACCGGAGAGGCUGCCUAUCGUUCCCGGGAUGCUGUCAAAAACCUUACAAUUAAGAUCCGUAUUCAGAGAGUCACCUCCACAGCAGCCCUCUCCCAACACCUUCAGCAGCAGGUUUGGACUCAACAGGAGAGGGGAGGCAUUGAGCUGGACACCCUCAACUCACAGACUCAAUCAGCAUUCCCAGAGUAUGGUGACGCAGGUCAAGUCCAAUCCUACCUUACUGGCACAUAGGAUGGCCAAUGUCAGACACAGACGACAGGACAGACGCCCAGUUGACAGCACCAUCCCCAAGUCCAGGCUGAUUACCUGGGAGCCCUUGUAGGACUUUGUGAAGACCAGCCACAUGGUCAACACACCUGUACAGACCAUGCACAUCAUGGGGGACCUGGGACCAGCAGGCAAACUUGGCCAAAAGGAGAAGGAAUGCUUGUCUGCACGAUAAGAGCAGAUGGAAAUGGAGUGGUUACCAUCAACAAAGGCAAGGAGCACUACAGGCCAGU
Molecule: long non-coding RNA, 692 nt
Organism: Oncorhynchus kisutch (coho salmon)
Lineage: Eukaryota; Metazoa; Chordata; Actinopteri; Salmoniformes; Salmonidae
Exons: 5
Source: RefSeq, a predicted model, not a curated record